Molecule: transfer-messenger RNA, 361 nt
Filed under: Candidatus Babelota bacterium
Lineage: Bacteria
Also listed under: 1 other name
Rfam family: transfer-messenger RNA
About the family: Bacterial tmRNA, also known as 10Sa RNA or SsrA, is named for its dual tRNA and mRNA-like properties.
Source: RNAcentral
GGGGGCGUCACGGCUUCGACGUAAUAUUAGAUGUUUUGAGAGCAUGUCGAGUUUUGUAUGUGAACUUGUAAAAAACAUUCAAUCAAAUAAGUGCAGACGCUAAUGUCGAUUAUGCCUAAUUAUAGUUAUUAGGUAUCUUGUUAGGAAAGCUUGUCUGUCGGCUGAACUAACUCGUAUUAAAACCCAGAUAGAACUUGCUAGUAAGAUUUUUUGUUUUUGUAGCUAAGCAAAAAUUACUAAACCGACUUUUAUUAAUAACUUUGCUUUUGAGGGUUAAUAAAAGUAGAUUCAAAAGCUAAACAUGUAGCGCUUGAAAUUGAUAAUAUGACGGACAUGGGUUCGACUCCCAUCGCCUCCACCA